Molecule: non-coding RNA, 632 nt
Organism: Paramisgurnus dabryanus
Lineage: Eukaryota; Metazoa; Chordata; Actinopteri; Cypriniformes; Cobitidae
Source: RefSeq, a predicted model, not a curated record
GGAAACUUUUUCAAAACUCCAAAACAGACUCUCGAGCGGACUCUGCUACGGUGAUUUUUUUUUUUUUUUAGGACAACUGCACAUAAACCUUUUUAGGGUUUCUUAAUCUUGUCAUUAUAUAAUCAAGAUUAUAACGGAUAUAUUUACGAUCAGUAUAAAUUAGAAGAAAAUAAUAAGCGAAAUCGAGACAGCUGGGUCUUCGGACGCUUCUGCUGCGGCAGAGGGGAAGCCCGGCCCGAGCGACUUACUGGAAAUUACUUUCCAGAAAAACCCCAAUAAAAAGUUACAGAGAUAAUGUUGACCGUCAUCUUCAUUUCUUCCAAAAUUACUUAUUUUUCACACUGGAUUGAAAUACGUUUCGCUAUAGCUUGCUCCUGUGUUAUUGGAUUUGGUCAAAUGGAGUCAAUAAGUCACCUCAUGGAAGCGGUAUAGAUUGCCCUCUCUAUUACACUAGCUGCAUAUUGCUGCAAGGUUAUUCAGUGCUGCUCGCCCAGGUCUCAUGUAAGCAAUGCAGGACGGUAUAGCAAACUAAAGUUCAAAUGAUGCAAAAUAGGAUUCAGAGUUCGUGACUGUAGACCUUUUCUGUUUUUUUCAGCCUGUCAUUGUUAUGAAGUCACCCAGAGCUUCAGAUU